GACGAACGCUGGCGGCGUGCUUAACACAUGCAAGUCGAACGGAAAGGCCCUGCUUUUGUGGGGUGCUCGAGUGGCGAACGGGUGAGUAACACGUGAGUAACCUGCCCUUGACUUUGGGAUAACUUCAGGAAACUGGGGCUAAUACCGGAUAGGAGCUCCUGCUGCAUGGUGGGGGUUGGAAAGUUUCGGCGGUUGGGGAUGGACUCGCGGCUUAUCAGCUUGUUGGUGGGGUAGUGGCUUACCAAGGCUUUGACGGGUAGCCGGCCUGAGAGGGUGACCGGCGACAUUGGGACUGAGAGACGGACCAGACUCCUACGGGAGGCAGAAGUGGGGAAUAUUGCACAAUGGGCGGAAGCCUGAUGCAGCAACGCCGCGUGCGGGAUGACGGCCUUCGGGUUGUAAACCGCUUUCGCCUGUGACGAAGCGUGAGUGACGGUAAUGGGUAAAGAAGCACCGGCUAACUACGUG
This 468-nucleotide ribosomal RNA is filed under the name uncultured bacterium. RNAcentral describes it as "partial 16S ribosomal RNA". It matches the Rfam family "Bacterial small subunit ribosomal RNA", at positions 28 to 507 of the family's 1533-position model. The record is from RNAcentral.